GGGUGCGACCAUACCAGCACCAGUGCACCAGAUCCCAUCAAAACUCCGCAGUUAAGCGUGCUUGGGCGAGAGUAGUACUAGGAUGGGUGACCUCCUAGGAAGUCCUCGUGUUGUAGAAA
Ribosomal RNA from Dendrobium catenatum, 119 nucleotides. The record is from RefSeq and is a predicted model, not a curated record. Lineage: Eukaryota; Viridiplantae; Streptophyta; Magnoliopsida; Asparagales; Orchidaceae.